AUUGAACGCUGGCGGCAUGCUUUACACAUGCAAGUCGAACGGUAACAGGUUAAGCUGACGAGUGGCGAACGGGUGAGUAAUGCAUCGGAACGUGCCCGGUCGUGGGGGAUAACGCAGCGAAAGCUGCGCUAAUACCGCAUACGAUCUGAGGAUGAAAGCGGGGGACCGUAAGGCCUCGCGCGAUCGGAGCGGCCGAUGUCAGAUUAGGUAGUUGGUGGGGUAAAGGCUCACCAAGCCGACGAUCUGUAGCGGGUCUGAGGGGAUGAUCCGCCACACUGGGACUGAGACACGGCCCAGACUCCUACGGGAGGCAGCAGUGGGGAAUUUUGGACAAUGGGCGCAAGCCUGAUCCAGCCAUGCCGCGUGCGGGACGAAGGCCUCGG
RNAcentral lists this ribosomal RNA (383 nucleotides) under uncultured bacterium. RNAcentral's name for it is "bacterial SSU rRNA". It matches the Rfam family "Bacterial small subunit ribosomal RNA", at positions 29 to 420 of the family's 1533-position model. The record is from RNAcentral.